RNAcentral lists this ribosomal RNA (433 nucleotides) under uncultured bacterium. RNAcentral's name for it is "partial 16S ribosomal RNA". It matches the Rfam family "Bacterial small subunit ribosomal RNA", at positions 29 to 507 of the family's 1533-position model. The record is from RNAcentral.
AACGAACGCUGGCGGCAUGCCUAACACAUGCAAGUCGAACGAGACCUUCGGGUCUAGUGGCGCACGGGUGCGUCACGCGUGGGAACCUGCCCUUAGGUUCGGAAUACCUCCCCGAAAGGGGUGCUAAUACCGGAUAAUGUCUUCGGACCAAAGAUUUAUCGCCUUUGGAUGGGCCCGCGUUGGAUUAGCUAGUUGGUAGGGUAAAAGCCUACCAAGGCGACGAUCCAUAGCUGGUCUGAGAGGAUGAUCAGCCACACUGGGACUGAGACACGGCCCAGACUCCUACGGGAGGCAGCAGUGGGGAAUAUUGGACAAUGGGCGAAAGCCUGAUCCAGCAAUGCCGCGUGAGUGAUGAAGGCCUUAGGGUUGUAAAGCUCUUUUACCCGGGAUGAUAAUGACAGUACCGGGAGAAUAAGCUCCGGCUAACUCCGUG